RNAcentral lists this ribosomal RNA (492 nucleotides) under uncultured bacterium. Its description in RNAcentral is "partial 16S ribosomal RNA". It matches the Rfam family "Bacterial small subunit ribosomal RNA", at positions 29 to 507 of the family's 1533-position model. The record is from RNAcentral.
AGUGAACGCUGGCGGUAGGCCUAACACAUGCAAGUCGAACGGCAGCACAGUAAGAGCUUGCUCUUACGGGUGGCGAGUGGCGGACGGGUGAGGCAUACAUCGGAAUCUACUUUUUCGUGGGUGAUAACGUAGGGCAACUUACGCUAAUACCUCAUACUACCUACGGGUGAAAGCAGGGGAUCUUCGGACCUUUCGCGAUUGAAUGAGCCGAUGUCGGAUUAGCUAGUUGGCGGGGUAAAGGCCCACCAAGGCGACGAUCCGUAGCUGGUCUGAGAGGAUGAUCAGCCACACUGGAACUGAGACACGGUCCAGACUCCUACGGGAGGCAGCAGUGGGGAAUAUUGGACAAUGGGCGCAAGCCUGAUCCAGCCAUACCGCGUGGGUGAAGAAGGCCUUCGGGUUGUAAAGCCCUUUUGUUGGGAAAGAAAAGCAGCAGGUUAAUACCCCGCUGUUCUGACGGUACCCAAAGAAUAAGCACCGGCUAACUUCGUG